RNAcentral lists this long non-coding RNA (795 nucleotides) under Phoenix dactylifera (date palm). Its description in RNAcentral is "long non-coding RNA (PDAC_LNC018168)". The record is from RNAcentral. Lineage: Eukaryota; Viridiplantae; Streptophyta; Magnoliopsida; Arecales; Arecaceae.
GUAUUCAAAUCUCUUUCUGAUUCCGAUUUCGGUUAUGAACCAAAUAUGUUGGGGGAUAUAGCCAUUCCGAUUCCCAUUCCAAUCUUUUCCGAUUUUGAUUCCGAUUCUGAUCACGAACCAAAAGCGCUUGUAAGGUUUUUUUUUCCUUAAAAUUUUUCUGUUCCAUAAUUGCCUUGGUGCAUUGGUGAUUGUUUUUUCUGUUGCGCUUAAUAUGCCUCUUGGGUGGAUAUAUAUGAGUUCUUUUUGUUUAAACAUAUCUUCUUCAUAAUCGGUCAUCUUCGUAGUUUUAUUAUCUGAGGACUUUACAACAAUGAAUUUCUCCUACCUCAUAUAGAGGUAUGGAUUCUAUGGAAGCACUAGAGCAUUGCAAUUUAUUUAAUCGUCAUACAUCCAUUUCAUCCUCAAUAUCCUAUAUUUUCAGGCUCUGGCUCUGAGAAUGAUAACUAUUUGACGAGCGAGUUACAUGUUUUGCAAAAUUAUCUUCUACUGCUUUAUCUCCAGAAUUCACCUGUCAUCAUCUUGAGGUCAUUCGAGCUAACCACAGUCGCCACUUUCAUUACUCAUGGCCUAUAUAGGUGGCCUACUUCCCGUUUGUAUCGCACACUUGCAUAUCCAUGGUGUCAUUUGUUUUGCUGCUCAAUCUUGCCCUGUUUCUGGCUAUCUAGCUGGCUCUGUUAGCAUGUAUUCCAAUGCUUCCUAUGUCAGAAAUCAAUGUUUUACUUGUUUGUCAGUGGUCAGCACUAGUACAGUAGUACCACAGGCAACUUUCAUGGGUAUUAUGCCACUGCCUUUACU